GAUGAACGCUGGCGGCGUGCCUAAUACAUGCAAGUCGAGCGAACAGAUGAGGAGCUUGCUCCUCUGACGUUAGCGGCGGACGGGUGAGUAACACGUGGAUAACCUACCUAUAAGACUGGGAUAACUUCGGGAAACCGGAGCUAAUACCGGAUAAUAUAUUGAACCGCAUGGUUCAAUAGUGAAAGACGGUUUUGCUGUCACUUAUAGAUGGAUCCGCGCCGCAUUAGCUAGUUGGUAAGGUAACGGCUUACCAAGGCAACGAUGCGUAGCCGACCUGAGAGGGUGAUCGGCCACACUGGAACUGAGACACGGUCCAGACUCCUACGGGAGGCAGCAGUAGGCAAUCUUCCGCAAAGGGCGAAAGCCUGACGGAGCAACGCCGCGUGAGUGAUGAAGGUCUUCGGAUCGUAAAACUCUGUUAUUAGGGAAGAACAAAUGUGUAAGUAACUAUGCACGUCUUGACGGUACCUAAUCAGAAAGCCACGGCUAACUACGUG
RNAcentral lists this ribosomal RNA (497 nucleotides) under uncultured bacterium. Its description in RNAcentral is "partial 16S ribosomal RNA". It matches the Rfam family "Bacterial small subunit ribosomal RNA", at positions 28 to 507 of the family's 1533-position model. The record is from RNAcentral.